AUGGGUGAAGUGGCUUUGGCUGAAUCUGGGGUUGAUCUGCCUGCAAAACCAGGGUGGCCCUACAUCCUGCCCUCCUUUCUCUCCUCCACCUGUGCCCUGUCUGGUGUGAAGGGUGCCAAGGACUUCACGGCAGCAAAGACGUGUUCACAGCUCUCUGGGCCAUCACAGAGCUCGGACAGGGCAUGUCACAGGAUGGGCCCUCAGCUGCGAUCCCAGUGUUGCCCUGGCAUGGGCGAGUGUGGCCUGGCAUUGCUGGAGAUCCGUGCCCUUCCUGCUCUCUGCCUGGCAGCUGCUGUUGUUAUCUCCAUUGCCAUGGCAAUGCCAGCCUGGCUCCCACGGCGUGUCCGCCUGUGCCUCCGCCAGGCAGACGCGGUCCCACGCCGGGCUGGAGCCCCGCUCCCACCACAGCUCACCCAGCUGAACGGCCACACCACGGACAGGGGGGUUAACACAACCCCAAAAUGCUGUGGGGAUGGAGAUGGGCAUGUCCCCUCCCCCAGGAGGUGAUAUCUGGGUGGGAAGCAGGGGGAGAAGGAGAGUCUGCACCUGGAACAUCUCCCAGCCCUGCCCUGCUGUGUCCAGCCGGGUGCCUUCCACCACAGCAGGACCCCUGUGCCUCACAGCCACCCUGGGCUCAGCCAUAGCCCCCCAGUGCUGGUACCAGCCCGUGGCCCCAAAAGUUGUAUUGAUCAGCACCCAGCUGCACCGAUAUUAAAGUGUUUGCCAGCAGCUGCUGAUUUAACAAAUCCUCCUGUCUGCUUAUUUAUGCCAUCUUCCUGCCUCCCACCUGGACCUUCCUGAUGCUUUGGGAAUUUUGCAAACGUUUUAAAGGCAGCAUUUCAAAGUCCACCAGGCAGCUAGCAAGGAGCAGGUCACUGGAAAGGGUGAGGAGAGGCAGAAAAGAUCCUCCACCCUGCAAGGCAGCUGCUGCUCUCACCCUCAGCCAUCCUUGCAUGCUCCCUGCACUCUCCCACUGCAGUUCCUUGUGUUCUGUACACCCACCCUGGCCCCAGCCCCAAGGCUGGAUGCAGGGGUUUGAAUUAAUGGUGAGGAGAAGUCCAAAGCAGCGCUUCCCAUCCGCUGGUUGCCUUUUCCUGGCUGUGGAGGCAAGAUCUGGGCCCAGGUCCCUGUUGGAUUGCCAGCCUCAAAGCAGGAGAGCAAAGUGCAAAUGGAAAAGCA
RNAcentral lists this long non-coding RNA (1179 nucleotides) under Parus major (Great Tit). RNAcentral describes it as "lncRNA (ENSPMJG00000011003.1)". Lineage: Eukaryota; Metazoa; Chordata; Aves; Passeriformes; Paridae. The record is from RNAcentral.